CUUACCAUGAAAUGCAGCUGGAUCAUCCUCUUCUUGAUGGCACUAGCUACAGGGGUCAACUCAGAAGUCCAGCUGCAGCAGUCUGGGGCUGAGCUUGUGAGACCUGGGACCCCUGUGAAGUUAUCUUGCAAAGUUUCUGGCGAUACCAUUACAUCAUACUACAUGCACUUUGUGAAGCAAAGGCCUGGACAGGGACUGGAAUGGAUAGGAGGGAUUGAUCCUGAGGAUGAUAGUACUGAUUAUGCUGAGAAGUUCCAAAGCAAGGCCACACUCACUGCAGACACAUCCUCCAACACAGCCUACAUCCAGCUUAGCAGCCUGACAUCUGAGGACACUGCAACCUAUUUUUGUACCACACACGGUGUUGCAACCACAUCCUGA
Rattus rattus (black rat) is the source of this 381-nucleotide non-coding RNA. The record is from the annotation of a RefSeq genome assembly. Lineage: Eukaryota; Metazoa; Chordata; Mammalia; Rodentia; Muridae.